AUACGUAGGUGGCGAGCGUUGUCCGGAAUUACUGGGCGUAAAGGAUGCGUAGGUGGAUAUUUAAGUGGGAUGUGAAAUCCCCGGGCUCAACCCGGGAACUGCAUUCCAAACUGGGUAUCUAGAGUGCAGGAGAGGAAAGCGGAAUUCCUAGUGUAGCGGUGAAAUGCGUAGAUAUUAGGAGGAACACCAGUGGCGAAGGCGGCUUUCUGUACUGUACCUGCCACUGAGGCAUGAAAGCGUGGGUAGCAAACAGGAUUAGAUACCCUGGUAGUCCACGCCGUAAACGAUGGGUACUAGGUGUAGGAGGUAUCGACCCCUUCUGUGCCGUCGUUAACACAAUAAGUACCCCGCCUGGGGAGUACGGUCGCAAGACUAAAACUCAAAGGAAUUGACGGGG
RNAcentral lists this ribosomal RNA (397 nucleotides) under uncultured bacterium. Its description in RNAcentral is "partial 16S ribosomal RNA". It matches the Rfam family "Bacterial small subunit ribosomal RNA", at positions 523 to 918 of the family's 1533-position model. The record is from RNAcentral.